GUAAAGGCUGCUUCCUGUCUGGGCAUGAGUCCGGCGCGUGUCGGGUUUUGAGCUGCCGCGGUCCCGGGACUGAGCUCCUUGGGAGCAGACAGCUGUCCUCACUGGCAGAGGAGGAGCGCUCAGUAAAUGCUCGCUGGACGGAUAAAUGACUAGAUAAGAUAAGGCAGCUCCAGCCCCUGGAAGGCCAGAGACUUGCCAGUGUCCCACUAGCGGGCUCUUCGCAAGAAUCCCCCCGGGCCCGCCGCAGCCAGGCGGCGGCCGGCAGAGGGCGCUGCUCGGGCAUGGCGGAGGAGCGGCCGGGGGCCUGGUUCGGCUUCGGUUUCUGCGGCUUCGGGCAGGAGCUGGGCUCCGGACGCGGGCGCCAGGUGCACAGCCCCAGUCCGCUGCGGGCGGGCGUCGACAUCUGCCGCGUGAGCGCGAGCUGGAGCUACACCGCCUUCGUGACCCGUGGAGGCCGCUUGGAGCUGUCGGGCUCAGCCAGCGGCGCGGCGGGCCGCUGCAAGGACGCGUGGGCCUCGGAGGGGCUCCUCGCGGUGCUGCGCGCCGGGCCGGGGCCGGGGCCGGAGGCGUUACUGCAGGUCUGGGCGGCCGAAUCGGCGCUGCGUGGGGAGCCAUUGUGGGCCCAGAAUGUGGUGCCCGAGGCCGAAGGGGAAGACGAUCCGGCCGGUGAGGCCCAGGCUGGGAGGCUACCCCUGCUGCCCUGCGCCCGUGCCUACGUGAGCCCGCGGGCGCCCUUCUACCGGCCUCUGGCUCCGGAGCUGCGGGCACGCCAGCUGGAGCUGGGCGCCGAGCACGCGUUGCUGCUGGACGCUGCUGGACAGGUGUUCUCCUGGGGCGGGGGCAGGCAUGGACAGCUGGGCCAUGGGACCCUGGAGGCAGAGCUGGAGCCACGGCUGUUGGAGGCGUUGCAGGGCCUAGUCAUGGCUGAGGUGGCCGCGGGGGGCUGGCAUUCUGUGUGUGUGAGUGAGACUGGGGAUAUUUAUAUCUGGGGCUGGAAUGAAUCAGGGCAGCUGGCCCUGCCCACCAGGAACCUGGCAGAGGAUGGAGAGACUGUCGCAAGGGAAGCCACAGAACUGAAUGAAGAUGGUUCUCAGGUGAAGAGAACGGGUGGGGCUGAGGAUGGAGCCCCUGCCCCCUUCAUAGCUGUCCAGCCCUUCCCGGCAUUACUGGAUCUCCCCAUGGGCUCAGAUGCAGUCAAGGCCAGCUGUGGAUCCCGGCACACAGCUGUGGUGACACGUGAGUGGGGCUGGGAGGCACUCUGCUCCACUCGAGCUGGUGCCUACGGAAGGGGGUGUGGUCGACGGAAAAACUUCUGUCUUAAGGCUUCUGUGGCUCAUACAGAGCAGCUACCUUGCUCAGUGGAUAAGCCCCAACCCCCGUGUUGUUUCACAGUAGUUCCCCCAGCCUGUCAGGCCCAGAAGUUUCUUCCUUCUGGUGGGAGGCUGAUGCUUUCUGUCCUCCCUGCACGGCCACAGACACAUUCCCUGCCCGCUGCCGCCUCUGACAGCAGGGACUGUCCAGUCUGGCAUGGAAGACUGCGGCGCUCGGUAGCGUGGCACACAGGAAGAUCCGCCACUUUUUCCCUCGGGAUCCUCUGCCAUGCCACGUGUGAUCAGCCAGUUGUUAAGAGAAUAUGUUGUUCCAUGCCAGGCAGAUCUCAUGAGGAUUGUAAUAUGCUAGCUGUGGGCUGUGCCAAGCUGGGCUGGACAGAUGCCUUGCCAAAGAACCGUAGUGACAAUUAUCGAUUGUCCUUUUGCUUUCAGGAACAGGGGAGCUCUACACCUGGGGCUGGGGUAAAUAUGGACAGCUGGGCCACGAGGACACCACCAGCUCGGAUCGGCCUCGCCGUGUGGAAUACUUUGUAGACAAGCAACUCCAAGUAAAGGCUGUCACCUGUGGGCCGUGGAACACCUACGUGUAUGCUGUGGAGAAAGGGAAGAGCUGACAUGUACCAACCAACUAAAAAGUGACUGGGGAAAAAAAGGAAACACCACACUAUAUCUUUUUGAAAUGGAAAAUGGCAUUACAGGUUUUCAGGAAAACCGCUGAAGCUUUCUUUUCAUCGUUACCAGAAUGUUGGCAAUCAUUCCCCCACCGCACCCCGAAUUUAAUGCAAGGACUCAACAAGCACAGACACCAAAGCUGGCCACUCCGUGACUGUCACUAUAGGCCGCUACUCAGCCUUCCAUCCACUCAAGUGGACUCGACAUGCAGGGACAGAAAAACCCUUUCCCAUCUCUGCAGGACAGAGGGAAAGAGGUGGGGAAAAGAAAGAUCAGACUGUUACUGUGUCUAUGUAGAAAAGGAAGACAUAAACUCCAUUUUGAUCUGUACUAAGAAAAAUUGUUUUGCCUUGAAAUGCUGUUAAUCUGCAACUUUAGCCCCAACCCUGUGCUCACAGAAACAUGUGCUGUAUGGAAUCAAGGUUUAAGGGAUCUAGGGCUGUGCAGGAUGUGCCUUGUUAACAAUAUGUUUACAGGCAGUAUGCUCGGUAAAAGUCAUCCGCAUUCUCCAUUCUCGAUUAACCAGGGGCACGAUGCACUGCCGAAAGCCGCAGGGACCUCUGCCCAAGAAAGCCUGGGUAUUGUCCAGGUAUUUCCCCGCACUGAGACAGCCUGAGAUAUGGCCUCGUGGGAAGGGAAAGACCUGACCAUCCCCCAGCCCGACACCUGUAAAGGGUCUGUGCUGAGGAGGAUUCGUAAAAGAGGAAGGUCUCCGUCUCCUGCAUGCCCCUGGGAACGGAAUAUCUCGGUGUAAAACCCGAUCGUACGUACCUACGUUCGUUCUAUUCUUAGGAGAAAACUGCCCUGUGGCUGCAGGCGAGAUACGCUGGCGGCAAUGCUGCUCUGUUACUCUUUACUACACUGAGAUGUUUGGGUGGGGAGAAGCAUAAAUCUGGCCUACGCGCACAUCUAGGCACAGUACCUUCCCUUGAACUUAUUUGUGACACAGAUUCCUUUGCUCACGUUUUCCUGCUGACCUUCUCCCCACUAUCACCCUGUCCUCCUGCCGCAUUCCCCUUGCCAAGAUAGUGAAAAUAGUAAUCAAUAAAUACUGAGGGAACUCAAGAGACCGGUGCUGGUGCAGGUCCUCUGUAUGCUGAGUGCUGGUCCCCUGGGCCCACUGUUCUUUCUCUA
Pan troglodytes (chimpanzee) is the source of this 3137-nucleotide RNA transcript. It is a transcript of the gene named RCC1 domain containing 1, with no coding region annotated. The record is from RefSeq and is a predicted model, not a curated record. The transcript is spliced from 10 exons. NCBI's taxonomy places the organism in Eukaryota, Metazoa, Chordata, Mammalia, Primates, Hominidae.